RNAcentral lists this long non-coding RNA (12726 nucleotides) under Marmota monax (woodchuck). The record is from RNAcentral. Lineage: Eukaryota; Metazoa; Chordata; Mammalia; Rodentia; Sciuridae.
AGCAAACUUCUGCACCCUUAAGGAGUUCUUGUCGGGUCUUCUGGCCACAGUGACAAGGACCUGAGCAAAGUGGGCACCGCCCUUCUGCCUCUCCUGCCGUCAGGACUCAAAUGGAUCCUGGGGGCCAGGCCUCCAGCUGCUCCUCGGCACCUCUCCUCUGGGCUUCCCAGUGUUCCGUCAGGCCACAGGACUCUGAGGAGCCUGCCAACAGAGACGCACAGGGACCCGCCGGCCCCAGCCCCAGUGUGCGUCCUGAAGCUUCGAAGGUGGGUUUUGUUGUUAUUGUUUGGGCAGAAAUUACUGAAAUCCUUUAAAUUACCUCAAGAAAAGUUAGAUCUUCCUCAGUUUCCAAAGUCUUUAGCCUGGGUAUGGAUGUAACAUUGAAGAGCCACAUGGACGAAGUUUUGAUCCUUUUAAAAUUUUCCCUCCGGAAAAAAAAAAAAGUGAAAGGAAUUGAAAGGAAGGGAGGGAGGGAGGGAGGGAGGGAGAAUUUCAAUCAACAUUCUCUGAGAGUCUCAGCUGCCCCUGACAGCCUCACCCAGCCCCAGGCCCUGGUUUGUCCACUGUAAGGAUUUUGCUUCUGCAGACAAAAUAUUUCCACCAAGGUCUUCUCAGGUAACUAAGAACAGAGUAGGGAGGAAGAGCAUGAGAAGGAGAUUGACAUUAGACAGGGAUGAGAGGUGGGAGGGAAAGGGAGAGAGAAGGGAAAUUGCAUGGAAAUGGAAGGAGACCCUCAGAGUUAUACAAAAGUACAUACAAGAGGAAGUGAGGGGAAGGGGAAAAAUAAUACAAGGGGGAGAAAUGAAUGACAGUAGAGGGGGCAGAGAGAGAAGAGGGGAGGGGAGGGGAGGAGAAGGGGGAUAGUAGAGGAUGGGAAAGGCAGCAGAACACAACAGACACUAGUAUGGCAAUAUGUAAAUCAAUGGAUGUGUAACUGAUGUGAUUCUGCAAUCUGUGUAUGGGGUAAAAAUGGGAGUUCAUAACCCACUUGAAUCAAAGUGUGAAAUAUGAUAUAUCAAGAACUAUGUAAUGUUUUCAACAACCAACAAUAAAAAUUUAAAAAAAAAAAGGUCUUCUCAGGCCACCCACUUUUACCUCCUGCUGAUUAACUAGGUCUCCUCUGAGGGACUUACUGAUUCCUCUUUGCUCAAACUCUGUGAGUGUUAAACUCUAACUUGCAAAAUUAACUUUAACCUAGACCUUCUAUUCCUGUUAGACACAGAUUAAUAAUUGAUAAUGUUAUUAUAAACCAACUACUGACCUUUGCUUGGGAUUAUUUUAUUACUCUUCACAUAGGUUAGUCUGGGGAUGUGGCUCAGGUGCCCUCCCCAGCACUGCAAAUCAUCAUAAUAAAUAAAGGUGCAGUAUGUGUGUGGAUUAGUUGAGUGAAGCCACGUUGGCACAGCAUUAAGGGCUCAAACUUGUCAUGCACCAUGCAUACCUUAACACCCUCACAAGAGGCGGCAGGAAGGGUUUCACAUUGAACCUGAAGUGCUCUGUGCCCCUGCUCACUGGGCACAGCCUCUCCUGUCUCCCAUCUUGCCCUGGGUGGUGGGACCUGCAGCCCACUGUCCCACUCCAGGCCUGCUUCCACUGGGGAAAGUCACAUCUGAAAACCCGAGUGUCACAGAACAUGAAGGAUGCUCUCAUCUGUCCCUCCCUCUCCCUCUGUCUUCAUGGGGGUCCAGACAUUUACAUAGGCACAGAGAGGUCCACCCACCACUUUCACCAGCACUGGUGGGAAACCUUUCUCCUGUGAGGAGCCGACGACUGGUGACCAGGUGCCCACGGACAAGGUGGGAGGGUCUCUGCUCAGUGAGAGCUUGCUGCUCAGAGCCAGCUGCCACCAUAGGGUGGGGACGAGUGGUGACUGCUGAGCACAGGGCAGUGGGGGCCAGUCCUAUGAACCCAGAGAUAAGGCCCUUUCCUCCAGGAGAACAUGAGAUUGGUUUCCAGGUUCCUGUGAGUCGCUAAAGGGUCCUGAGAGGGACACAGAGGACUAGAGAGAGCCCUACCUUGCAGGAGCAGGGAGUUGGUUCAGAAAGGACUGCAGGGUGCCAGAGGGCAGGAGAGUUAAGAGGGGCUCCAACCAAGUCAGGCAACGGGAGCAGCAGAAUGAGAAGGCAAGUGUGCAGGCCCCGGGGACAGGCUGGUCCACAUUCCCCCCUGCGUCCCCCACUCCUCCUGCCUCCAGGAGAUCAUCUCCAUGUCUGCUGUCUGCGUCUUGCCACGCUGACUUCCCCCGUGGAAGGAGGAGUUGGCUGCUGAUGCGUGGGGAGGAGGGCAGGGGGGCUGGCCCUUCCUCACGUCCUCUAGGGGGCAGGUGCCUGGGAAUGCACUUGGAUGUGUAAGAAGGGAGGCGGGCAAUGACCUGUCCUGGUGCGUAUGAGGGGCAAGAUGUGCUCCCUCUGCCCCAGAUGUGGGGUGCAACACGCAGAGGCAUGUCCACCUGCAGGUACAGCUGGACACCUGGGUACCAACUUUAUCAAAAAUGAUGGUGCCAUUUCAUUUCCAAUCUAGGUGAUUGGUUUUCUCAGUUGGUUUAGGAUCCAGACGAGGGAAAAGGGUGUUGCUUCCUGGGUAGAGAACAAGUGAGGGCCUCUCCAGGGAUUGCUAUCAAGAGGCUGCUCUCAGUAGGUCCUGGCUUCAUGUUUGUGUCCAGCGAAUGGAUUACCAAAAACACGGACUAGUCAAGUCACAUGAGAACAUGAGCUCAGGCCAACAGCAGGCUUCUCUGUGACACUGCUCCUCCUUCACAGGUCAUAUGCAGAAUGUCCAUGGCUUACAUCUCAGACCCUCAAAUUCAAAAAAAUUCAGAAGAGAAAGGGCAAAAAUUCACUAUGAGCAAGGAACAGUACAAAAGAGAGCACACAGUUACUCCCAAAGAACUGUAGGUAGCAUGAAUAUUUAUGUGGUGCACCAUAAAAUAAUAAUUUUAAAAUGAUUCAAAUAGUAUUUAAAAUUGAAUUCCAAAUUUUAGGUGGAAACAAAAAUUCUCUGAAUUUAAGAUACCAAAAUGACUAAAUGGAGAGACAGAGUCCCAAGAAAAUUGAGAUCCAAGAGAAAAGAAAUUGGGAAAGAGGCUGGUUACUAGAGGGUGCUGAGAUGUGAAGGUCUCUCACUUCCUUGCUCAGGUUGGAAAUGUAGCUGCAAAAGCAACCCCGUGAGUGGUGGGCCCUUGGGAAGGAGGCCUCCUCCUUCCCAGGUGGGGUCAGUGCCUUAGGAUCUGGCCAGACUGAGGCCUCCUCCUUCCCAGGUGGGGUCAGUGCCUUAGGACCUGGCCAGACUGAGGCCUCCUCCUUCCCAGGUGGGGUCAGUGCUUUAGAUCUGGCCAGGCUGAGGCCUCCUCCUUCCCAGGUGGGGUCAGUGCCUUAGAUCUGGCCAGACUGAGGCCUCCUCCUUCCCAGGUGGGGUCAGUGCCUUAGAUCUGGCCAGACUGAGGCCUCCUCCUUCCCAGGUGGGGUCAGUGCCUUAGGACCUGGCCAGGCUGAGGCCUCCUCCUUCCCAGGUGGGGUCAGUGCCUUAGCUCUGGCCAGGCUGAGCUGCCUGAAAGAGGGUUUUCGGGGUGGCUUCCCUCCCUUUACCACUCUGUCUUCUACUUGGAAUGAUGCACAAGACAGCAUUGGCCAGACUCCAGGCCCUGGACUGGACAUCCCAGCCUCCACAACCAGGAAAUACGCUUCUGCUCAUCAUUAACCACCUAACUGUGGCUGUAAUGGUCCCAUAAAGCAGCAAGAAAGUGGGGUGGCCCGCCUCUCCCCGCAUUACGGUGCUCCAAAUUGUCAGAAGAGGAAGGUGAUCACACGGGAGCAGGAAGCUGGCCAAGGGGGCCAAAGCUGGUCUCCCUUGGGCCCUUCAGUAGAUUAUGCUUUCCUAAGAUGUGGCCACCCCUGAGACGGGCUGCAGAGCCCUCUGGUGACCUCGUUAGGAGGGGGGUCCUCCUGGGCCUGCCUUCAGCAGGGUCUUCUGCAGCUGCCCUUGGGUCCUUGGCUUAUCACAUCAGCAUGCCCACAGAAGGGCCAGAGAGGGCCCCGGGUGGUUUAAAGAAGCAGGCAGUACCUUAAACCUGUGGGAAGGGAAGCCCUGUCCUCUCCUCUGCGAGGUCCCAGCGUCCCAUGGAGCCUCACCAGCGGGAGCACCAGUCUCCUUCCGCCUAGUGUUGGUUCCAAAUCUCCACGUGUCCAGAAGUAUAGGACAAUCUCACCUAAAUUUAGAUAGAUUUUUCUAAGUCCUGGUGACUUAAGAUAAUUGGCCACACCUAAAUCCACAAAUGCUGGCAGCCACAGCCCACCUGCCCCUUCCUAGAUGAGAGUGCUUCCUUGUGCUUGGGCACGGACACCAAGUCUAGUGGCACAUCUUCCAGGAAUGAACCUAAACCUCUUCCCCAACUUGGAGUAGUGUGGCCCUCUGUGUCACGCAGCUCUGCCCUGUCCUCUGCCCACUGUCUGGUCCUUUUNCCCCAGAUGUGGGGUGCAACACGCAGAGGCAUGUCCACCUGCAGGUACAGCUGGACACCUGGGUACCAACUUUAUCAAAAAUGAUGGUGCCAUUUCAUUUCCAAUCUAGGUGAUUGGUUUUCUCAGUUGGUUUAGGAUCCAGACGAGGGAAAAGGGUGUUGCUUCCUGGGUAGAGAACAAGUGAGGGCCUCUCCAGGGAUUGCUAUCAAGAGGCUGCUCUCAGUAGGUCCUGGCUUCAUGUUUGUGUCCAGCGAAUGGAUUACCAAAAACACGGACUAGUCAAGUCACAUGAGAACAUGAGCUCAGGCCAACAGCAGGCUUCUCUGUGACACUGCUCCUCCUUCACAGGUCAUAUGCAGAAUGUCCAUGGCUUACAUCUCAGACCCUCAAAUUCAAAAAAAUUCAGAAGAGAAAGGGCAAAAAUUCACUAUGAGCAAGGAACAGUACAAAAGAGAGCACACAGUUACUCCCAAAGAACUGUAGGUAGCAUGAAUAUUUAUGUGGUGCACCAUAAAAUAAUAAUUUUAAAAUGAUUCAAAUAGUAUUUAAAAUUGAAUUCCAAAUUUUAGGUGGAAACAAAAAUUCUCUGAAUUUAAGAUACCAAAAUGACUAAAUGGAGAGACAGAGUCCCAAGAAAAUUGAGAUCCAAGAGAAAAGAAAUUGGGAAAGAGGCUGGUUACUAGAGGGUGCUGAGAUGUGAAGGUCUCUCACUUCCUUGCUCAGGUUGGAAAUGUAGCUGCAAAAGCAACCCCGUGAGUGGUGGGCCCUUGGGAAGGAGGCCUCCUCCUUCCCAGGUGGGGUCAGUGCCUUAGGAUCUGGCCAGACUGAGGCCUCCUCCUUCCCAGGUGGGGUCAGUGCCUUAGGACCUGGCCAGACUGAGGCCUCCUCCUUCCCAGGUGGGGUCAGUGCUUUAGAUCUGGCCAGGCUGAGGCCUCCUCCUUCCCAGGUGGGGUCAGUGCCUUAGAUCUGGCCAGACUGAGGCCUCCUCCUUCCCAGGUGGGGUCAGUGCCUUAGAUCUGGCCAGACUGAGGCCUCCUCCUUCCCAGGUGGGGUCAGUGCCUUAGGACCUGGCCAGGCUGAGGCCUCCUCCUUCCCAGGUGGGGUCAGUGCCUUAGCUCUGGCCAGGCUGAGCUGCCUGAAAGAGGGUUUUCGGGGUGGCUUCCCUCCCUUUACCACUCUGUCUUCUACUUGGAAUGAUGCACAAGACAGCAUUGGCCAGACUCCAGGCCCUGGACUGGACAUCCCAGCCUCCACAACCAGGAAAUACGCUUCUGCUCAUCAUUAACCACCUAACUGUGGCUGUAAUGGUCCCAUAAAGCAGCAAGAAAGUGGGGUGGCCCGCCUCUCCCCGCAUUACGGUGCUCCAAAUUGUCAGAAGAGGAAGGUGAUCACACGGGAGCAGGAAGCUGGCCAAGGGGGCCAAAGCUGGUCUCCCUUGGGCCCUUCAGUAGAUUAUGCUUUCCUAAGAUGUGGCCACCCCUGAGACGGGCUGCAGAGCCCUCUGGUGACCUCGUUAGGAGGGGGGUCCUCCUGGGCCUGCCUUCAGCAGGGUCUUCUGCAGCUGCCCUUGGGUCCUUGGCUUAUCACAUCAGCAUGCCCACAGAAGGGCCAGAGAGGGCCCCGGGUGGUUUAAAGAAGCAGGCAGUACCUUAAACCUGUGGGAAGGGAAGCCCUGUCCUCUCCUCUGCGAGGUCCCAGCGUCCCAUGGAGCCUCACCAGCGGGAGCACCAGUCUCCUUCCGCCUAGUGUUGGUUCCAAAUCUCCACGUGUCCAGAAGUAUAGGACAAUCUCACCUAAAUUUAGAUAGAUUUUUCUAAGUCCUGGUGACUUAAGAUAAUUGGCCACACCUAAAUCCACAAAUGCUGGCAGCCACAGCCCACCUGCCCCUUCCUAGAUGAGAGUGCUUCCUUGUGCUUGGGCACGGACACCAAGUCUAGUGGCACAUCUUCCAGGAAUGAACCUAAACCUCUUCCCCAACUUGGAGUAGUGUGGCCCUCUGUGUCACGCAGCUCUGCCCUGUCCUCUGCCCACUGUCUGGUCCUUUUACUCUCCCACGUGACAUGUUUCAGGGGAAGUGCUAUGAUGUGUGUCCGCCCAACACCGCAGGUGCUGCACACAGUAGGGCUUGGGAAGUGCUUGCCAGGUUGCAAGUCUGCACCUUUGGAGGAGAGAGAACAACCCUGGGAGGAAAGAAUAAUCUGGCUUCACAGCAGUUGAGCUCAUAGCAAAGGAGACUUGAGAACUCAAAUCGUCUCUUUCUGAAUCUAAUAAUUGCUUGCAACAUCAUUGUCUUCCCUCUGUCCAUCUUCACAGGACUGAAAGUUGCUGCUAGCCAUUAAAAAAAACGGUUUCUUGAUCUCUGACCACCACCAUUGGCACAUGUGAAGCUUUAAUUGAACCGUUCUUGUUUUCCUCCAACACUGGUAACUUCCUCAGGCCCCGGGAGGGGCUUCUAGCCAAUGGCUCCAUUUGAACUCCUGGAACAGUGAGAGAGAGGUCACACGAGGGACCUCCCCAAUCUAGGCAGCUUUGACAUCUGGCCAGAGUCACAUGCUGGGUUAAUCCAAUUAUAUGGAAAUGGUAGUUUUUAAAGAAAACAAAACUCAUGCUGAGUUUUGGCAGAAAACAAAGUAGAGUAGAUGUGGGUUCCUUUUAGUGUUGGUCUUCAAGUAAUUGAGUUCACGCAGACUUGUGUUUGGAGGUGAACGGUUCAGCAGGCACAAGCGGUGUUUGCCCAGGUCUCUCCUGUCACUGGGGAGGGGCGCCCUCUGAGGGCACUCCACCCAGCUCUCCAGAGUGGUAGUUCAGCUGCCGUCUGUCCUUAAUCCAUUUUCUUCUGUUUUGACUCUCCUCCAAAUGUUCAGUGCUCUAAUCCAGAGCCCAAGUCCUGACACCCUUAUUUGGUUUAUUACACAAAGGAAUCACCACAUGUGCCAGCCACGUGCAUCAGGGCAGGAGGGAAUUUAUCAUCGUCAAGUAAAUUAACUCCUGGAAGUUUGCAAUGAAGGAUCCUAAUAAUAUAAGACUGCACGUCAAAUUAAAGCUUCCUGGAGGUGUUUCACAGGCAAACAGCAGCUUUCCGUCACUGUGACAGAACACCUGAGGUGGUCAACGUAAGAGGAGGAAAGGUGGAUUUUGGCUCGUGGUUUCGUAAGUCCAUGUGGCAGCAUGAUCCAUUAUGGCAGGGGUGCCUGGCAGAGGGGUCUGCUCAACUUGUGGUGGCCAGGAAGAGACAGGGCGAAACCAAAGUCCAAAUAUUCCCCUCAAGGACGUGCUCUCCAAAGACCUGGACACGCUCCAGGCUGCCCAGUGUUCUGGAUCAUCAUGGGGGCCCAUUUCAGAGGAGAUAUUCUUACUGACUUUUAUGCAUUGAAUCAGCAGCUAGAAUUUUACAAUACACAUUUUAUUAUAAAAUAGUUUAAAAUUUGCAGGAAAAAAAUGACAGAAGAGUACAGGUAUUUCCCAUACGACCGUGUCUACACUUCUUUAUGAUCAACACCCUACCUGAAUAUGGUGCAGUGCCUCGGGUAGAGGCGCUAUGACUCAUAAAAUCUGAAGUUGAUACAGAGGUUCCCAGUGUCUCCUAGUGUGUCUCCCGUUCCAGGAUCCCACUGGGAUGUGGCACUGCCUUUCUGCAGUAUGUCUCUAGGCUCCCCUUUCCUGGGGGUUUCUCAGGCGUUUCUUGCUUCUGACGGCCUUGACAGUUUGAGGCACGGUCAAGUCAGUAUGGAUCUCACUUUGAUUUGCCUGAUGUCCGGCUCAGGGCUGGCCAGGCUGUGGGCUUUGUGAAGAAUGUGCAGGUGAAGUGCCGUUCCCAUGACUUGCUGUCCCCAUGUCAGAGUGGACCUUGCUCACUCGGCCGAGGUGGUCAUUUCCCCCACUGCCACCUGGCUUCCCCCCUCUUGCUCUUCUUUGGAAGAAAGGUUUUGCGCACAGCCUGCUCUUACAGGGGGCUAGCUCCAUUUCCUUGAGGGUGGAUCCUCCACACAAAUUAUUUGACUGUUUUACACAAGAAUUCGUGUACUUCUCCCAUUACCGUGUUACACAAUCCAUCGUUUACGUCAACAUGGGAUCAUAGAUAAGCUCUUUAUACUUUGGGAUAUAACCCAAUGCCACAUUUCUUGUGUGUUACUGGAGGACAGUCAGUUCUAUCACUCAGCUCAAUCUUCCUUCCGACACACCCCCAUAUUGUGUGUGUGUGUGUGUGUGUCCACACAGGUGAGUAUGCAUUGUGCUCUUUGUGUCUUCUCCCACUAAGAUGCUCAAGGUUCAUCUUGAAUAUUUCCUACCCUGGUCCUAAAAUGAUCUGUCAUUUCUCCAAGGGACCUUGGCCCCUUUUAUUGGAGAAAAGUAUUGGAUAACAAGUGGGUGGUAGUUAUGGUUGUUACUACAGAGAGCCAGUGCUUCUGGGUCCUCCCAGAUUUUGGAACAAAGAGUAGUUGUGUAUAUACUAACUCAUGCAUGUGGGCGGGUCUAGGAAUACUCGACCAUAAUCACCUGCGCAUGCAUUAGGCUGAGCGUAAAUUCACACAAUGCCUCAACUCUUAGUCCAUUCCCAUAUCUGUAGCCUCCAGCAGUGAGAAACCUGGGUCACAACAUGCCUUCACCACUAAUGGAUCAUUUCCAUCACACACCUACAGCUGAAUCAACAUUAACUGUACCCGUGGGGAAACUGCAUGCAUUGCUCAUGUGCAGGCUUUGGUUUCUUGGUCUUAUGAUGCCUGCUCAUCUACAAAGAUACUUAGGGCAAUACUUUUCUUCCCUCCCACCUCCGUGAAGUGCAAUAUAGUCGAGUAUUCUGUCACAGUCACUUUCAUGGGGAUGUCCUUCCCCUCAUUCAUGGGAUCAUAGAUAAGCUUGAAUGAAGCUUUACUGUUUGUUCUAUAAAGUGGCAAAUGCAUAGUGACCUUCUUUCACUAACCUAUAUGAAUUUUAAAAUAAUCCAUGUCUUCACAAUACUUGAUGGCUUAUUUUUUACUGCUGAAUGAUAUUUUAUUAUUUGUAUAUUCCUCAUUUCAUUAAUUAUCAAUCUAUCAAAGGACAGAGGUGUCAUUGCUCCCAGGUUCGUUGAACAUUUAAAAAGCUCCUGCUGUGUAGAUAUUCACAUGUAGACACGUGUGAGUAUGAGUUUAAAUUGACUGAGUAAAUGCCUAGGAGUAGAGUGGCUUGUUUGGAUUUGGCUUCACAGGAAACUGCCAAACUGUCUUCCAAAGUAGAGACAAAAUUCGGCAUUCCCGCCAGGGAUAAAAGGGCAUCUGUCCCUCCACAUCCUCACCAGUAACUGGUGUAGCCAGUGUUUGGGGACUUGCAUUAAUCUAAUAGGUAUGUAAUGUUGUCCUUAAAGAAUUUGCGAAUCCCUAGUAACACACUGAGUUAAGAAUCUUCCCACAGGCUUAUUUUCCAUGUGUGCACCUUUUCUGAUGAGGUUUUUGUUCCUACAUAGUAUUUAUUUCAAUUUUUUUUUAAACAUUGAAAUUCAUGUGUUCUCUGUGUAUUCUGGAUACAAGUUCUUUAUCAGAUACGUGUCUCCAGAUAUGUGUCUCACAAAUACUUCCACCCAGUUCAUUCAUGAAAGUGACUUUUAUAGAGUAGAAGUGUUUUUUUUUUUUAAUUUGAGUGCAUUUUUCUUUCAUAGAUGUUGCUUUUGAUUUGUAUCUAAAAAUUCAUCAUUAAGUUCCUAAGUCAUAUGGAUGUUCUCAAUUAUUUUCUUCUAGAAAAGUUAUAUUUUUACAUUUUUAUAGGCACUUUUAUAAUUCACUUUGAGUUGUUUUUUAUGAAAUGUAUAAAUUCUGUCUAGGUUCAUUGUUUUUUAUAAUGGUGUUCAAGUGUUCCAACACAAUUGUAGAAAAGAGCUUAUCUUUCUCUAUUGAAUGGUCUUUGAGCCUGUAUCAAAACUCAGCUAAAGGGCCGGGGUAGCGCAGUGGUAGGUGCUUGUGCGGUGUGCCUGGGCCCUGGGUGGCACCCCCACUGUCUCACCCACGCAGUUCAGUGUCUCUCUGAGUCGCACUGUCUUAGAAAGCUGUCUUAGAGCUGCUGCCGUAGAAGCCGUAGGAGCAGACAGUGUGCGGGACCUGACUCUUGUUUCUUCAGUGUUGUUUUGGCUCCUUCAAGUUUACUACUUUGCUGCGUAAUGAACUUCAGCAUGAGUCUGUCCAUGUUUACAGNNNNNNNNNNNNNNNNNNNNNNNNNNNNNNNNNNNNUGUUGCUUUUGAUUUGUAUCUAAAAAUUCAUCAUUAAGUUCCUAAGUCAUAUGGAUGUUCUCAAUUAUUUUCUUCUAGAAAAGUUAUAUUUUUACAUUUUUAUAGGCACUUUUAUAAUUCACUUUGAGUUGUUUUUUAUGAAAUGUAUAAAUUCUGUCUAGGUUCAUUGUUUUUUAUAAUGGUGUUCAAGUGUUCCAACACAAUUGUAGAAAAGAGCUUAUCUUUCUCUAUUGAAUGGUCUUUGAGCCUGUAUCAAAACUCAGCUAAAGGGCCGGGGUAGCGCAGUGGUAGGUGCUUGUGCGGUGUGCCUGGGCCCUGGGUGGCACCCCCACUGUCUCACCCACGAAGUUCAGUGUCUCUCUGAGUCGCACUGAUCCGUCUGUCCUUUCACUAGGACAAAGCUGUCUUAGAGCUGCUGCCGUAGAAGCCGUAGGAGCAGACAGUGUGCGGGACCUGACUCUUGUUUCUUCAGUGUUGUUUUGGCUCCUUCAAGUUUACUGCUUUGCUGCGUAAUGAACUUCAGCAUGAGUCUGUCCAUGUUUACAGAGUAACUUACUGGGAUUUUACUGGGAUUGCUUUGAAUUGAAUCUACAUCUCAACCAAGUUGGGCAGAACUGGUAUCUUAACAAUCCUGAAUCUUCCUUUGCAUUAAUAGAGAAUAACUUUCCAUUUAUCUAAAAAUUCUAAAUUUUAUUUCAUCUGUGAUUUGUUGUUUCUCCCAAAAAUAUUUUAUAGUUUUACACCUACCUACCUCUUUAUUUAUUAGUGUUGUCAUAAAAGUUAUUGCUUUUUAAUUUAAAAUUCCACUUGUUCACUGCUGGGUUACAGGAAAACAAUCGGCUUCUGUGCAUUGGCUUUGCAAACUUUCUAUGCUUACCUAUUAGUUCCAGGGGGCUUUUUUUUUUAGACUUUUGUAAUUUUAUACAUAGACAACCGUACCACCUGCAAAUAAAAACAGUAUUUUUCCCCUUUCACAUCUGUGUGUAUGUGUGUGUACUAGCUACAUCUCAAUGCCUAAAGAUGCACUAGCUGCAACUUCAACACACCAAAAUGUUGACACGUAGACCCCCCCUCCCACACACAGGUGUUUAAAGGCUUGGUCCCCACCUAACUGCUGGGGAGAGAUGCUGCAGCCUGUGGGAGGGGAAGCCUGGCGAAGACAUUUCUCAGGUCCUUAGGCCCUGGACACUCACUCUCUCUCUCUCUCUCUCUCUCUCUCUCUCUCUCUCACACACACACACACACACACACACACACACUGCUCCCUGGUGUGAGAGGUCACUGCUUGCUCUUAUCUGAACUUCCACCAUGCUCACACAAGAACCCAAACUAGUAGAAACACCAGAUCUUGCACUUGAACUCCCAGAACCACAAGCCAAAAUAAACCUCUCUCUACUUUACAGGUAGCCUGUGUCAGGCACCUCACUGCAGUGGCAGAAAGCUGACUCAUCAGAGCGCGUCUCUGCCUCGUGUCUGGCGUGAGCCUGUGCUGUGCAGUUCACUCUACGUGUGGUGAACUGUCGUGCUGGCUGUGCAGGUUCUGCAGACGUCCUUUAUCAGGGGGACAUCGUUCUCCUCUGAGGGUGACGAAAGUUUUACCUCGAAUGGAUAUUUCUAAACCAACGGAUAUGAUCAUGUGAUCUCGUGUUGUGUAGACUACUACCUUGGGGGGUUCCAUUCAUUGAUUUUUGAAAGUUAAAUCAGGAUGGCAUACCUAGGUAAAUCCCACUUGUUCUCGAUGUAUCAUCUUUAUUAAAUAUUUCUAGAUAAUGUUUGCUAAUAUUUGGGGGUGGUAUAGUUAAGUUCAUAAGAGAGCUUGCUCUGUGAUCCUCCUUUUAAGUAAUGGCUUUAUUUGGUUUUAUAACUAGGAUGAGAUUUGUGUCAGAGAAUGAGUUGGAAAGUGUUUCUGUUUGUAUUUAUGGAAGACACCUUGAAGUGUGUCAUCUUCUUUUAAUGUUUGGUAGAAUUCACUACAAAAUUAUUUGAAUGUUGUGCUUUCUCUUUUUUAAAGAUUAUUAAUCAUUGAUUGAAUGGUUAUUUUAAAAAAAUUAAACGCUUUUGGUACUGGG